RNAcentral lists this ribosomal RNA (462 nucleotides) under uncultured bacterium. RNAcentral's name for it is "partial 16S ribosomal RNA". It matches the Rfam family "Bacterial small subunit ribosomal RNA", at positions 28 to 507 of the family's 1533-position model. The record is from RNAcentral.
GACGAACGCUGGCGGCGUGCUUAACACAUGCAAGUCGAACGGAAAGGCCCUUCGGGGUCCUCGAGUGGCGAACGGGUGAGUAACACGUGGGUGAUCUGCCCUGCACUUUGGGAUAAGCCUGGGAAACUGGGUCUAAUACCGAAUAGGACCGCGCGCUUCAUGGUGUGUGGUGGAAAGCUUUUGCGGUGUGGGAUGGGCCCGCGGCCUAUCAGCUUGUUGGCGGGGUAAUGGCCUACCAAGGCGACGACGGGUAGCCGGCCUGAGAGGGUGACCGGCCACACUGGGACUGAGCUACGGCCCAGACUCCUACGGGAGGCAGCAGUGGGGAAUAUUGCACAAUGGGCGCAAGCCUGAUGCAGCGACGCCGCGUGAGGGAUGACGGCCUUCGGGUUGUAAACCUCUUUCACCAGGGACGAAGCGCAAGUGACGGUACCUGGAGAAGAAGCACCGGCCAACUACGUG